This 497-nucleotide ribosomal RNA is filed under the name uncultured bacterium. RNAcentral describes it as "partial 16S ribosomal RNA". It matches the Rfam family "Bacterial small subunit ribosomal RNA", at positions 28 to 507 of the family's 1533-position model. The record is from RNAcentral.
GAUGAACGCUGGCGGCGUGCCUAAUACAUGCAAGUCGAGCGAACAGAUGAGGAGCUUGCUCCUCUGACGUUAGCGGCGGACGGGUGAGUAACACGUGGAUAACCUACCUAUAAGACUGGGAUAACUUCGGGAAACCGGAGCUAAUACCGGAUAAUAUCUUGAACCGCAUGGUUCAAUAGUGAAAGACGGUUUUGCUGUCACUUCUAGAUGGAUCCGCGCCGCAUUAGCUAGUUGGUAAGGUAACGGCUUACCAAGGCAACGAUGCGUAGCCGACCUGAGAGGGUGAUCGGACACACUGGAACUGAGACACGGUCCAGACUCCUACGGGAGGCAGCAGUAGGGAAUCUUCCGCAAUGGGCGAAAGCCUGACGGAGCAACGCCGCGUGAGUGAUGAAGGUCUUCGGAUCGUAAAACUCUGUUAUUAGGGAAGAACAAAUGUGUAAGUAACUAUGCACGUCUUGACGGUACCUAAUCAGAAAGCAACGGCUAACUACGUG